This is a small nucleolar RNA of Catagonus wagneri (Chacoan peccary), 135 nucleotides long. Ensembl annotates it as small nucleolar RNA, H/ACA box 14B. Lineage: Eukaryota; Metazoa; Chordata; Mammalia; Artiodactyla; Tayassuidae. The record is from Ensembl.
UUGCAUUCUUAAACCCUCUUGGUAGCUUCGCUUUAAAGGCUUUCAAGAUAUGAGUGAAUGCUACAGAAAUUGCAGGGGAGUCCAAAGGGCUGCGCUUCUCACGUGGCUCAGUCCUAUUUCAUACCUGCGACAUGU